GUCUGGAUCUGGAAUAGAAUCAAACACUUGUUUAUCCACCUGCCAUAACUACUUAUGGAGGGCCUGGAUAUAUAUUGUAAUUGGAGUGUCUUGUGGGCACAUCCAAACAAAAUUUCAAAAGGGGAUAGACCAUUUCUUGGCUGAGGGGUGAAUCUCAUAGAGACGAGUGCUAGGGGAAGGCAUUCAGACCAAGGCUUACCUGUCUCUUGCACGGCUUUUGCAAUUUUAUUCUUUAGGUUGCCAUUUGCCCUUUCUACUUUCCCACUACUCUGGUGGACAUAGGGGGUGUGGAAGGCCUGACUGAUCCCUAGUGCCUUCAUUAUUUCUUGCAUUAUUUCCCCAGUGAAUUGGCUACCUCUGUCACUUUCAAUCACUUCAGCUACCCCAUAUCUACAUACCAGUUCCUUCAGAAGCUUACCCGCUGUGGCUUUC
Molecule: non-coding RNA, 432 nt
Organism: Pelobates cultripes (western spadefoot toad)
Lineage: Eukaryota; Metazoa; Chordata; Amphibia; Anura; Pelobatidae
Source: the annotation of a GenBank genome assembly